RNAcentral lists this long non-coding RNA (605 nucleotides) under Anser cygnoides (Swan goose). RNAcentral's name for it is "lncRNA (ENSACDG00005015857.1)". The record is from RNAcentral. Lineage: Eukaryota; Metazoa; Chordata; Aves; Anseriformes; Anatidae.
UAAGGUUGUAGAAUAUAGUACAUUUUAUACUGUGGGGAAUCUAUCAGCCUGGUCUGUUAGAGUUAUGAUUUGAUAAUAACAUUAUGAAAAUCAGUUCUUCUUUUUUCUGGAACAGUUGAGAAACUGCAUUCUUCAAGUUUAUCAGAACAGCUUAAUUUAAAAGUGAAACAGACCAUUACUACUGCUGCAUCAAUUAUGAAAAAGAACUUUAACAAGAAAAUCAUUUCAGACUGGAAAGUCUAAUCACUAAUGGCUGCCAACAGAUUGUUCAUCUGCUUCUUGGAAAUCACUGCUUUUAUGGACUACUUUCAGAAAGAGGAGGAAGAAACACAGCCUGCUUCCCCAAAGUGACAUUUGGCACAACAACCUUUCAUUUUAAAAGCAAACUUGUACUUUGUACUUUGAAAACUUUGUACUUGAUUAAAAUACUCAAUCUAAAAUGACUCCUUGUACUGUGUCUGGCUGGGAUGGAAUUAAUUUUCUUCAUAGCAGUUCAUAUGGUGUUGUGUUUUAGAUUUGUGACCACAGCCGUGUUGAUAGCACACUGAUGUUUUAGCUGCUGCCAAGCAGUGCUUGCAGCAUCAGGGCUUCCUCUCUUUCUCACU